GGUCUCAGUUCAGAUUGCAGGCUGCAACCCGCCUGCAUGAAGUCGGAAUUGCUAGUAAUCGCGGAUCAGCAUGCCGCGGUGAAUACGUUCCCGGCCUUGUACACACCGCCCGUCACACCAUGGGAGCCGGUAAUACCCGAAGUCAGUAGUCCAACCUCGUGAGGACGCUGCCGAAGGUAGGAUUGGCGACUGGGGUGAAGUCGUAACAAGGUACC
Molecule: ribosomal RNA, 215 nt
Filed under: uncultured bacterium
Lineage: Bacteria
Description: partial 16S ribosomal RNA
Rfam family: Bacterial small subunit ribosomal RNA
Source: RNAcentral